Molecule: non-coding RNA, 882 nt
Organism: Cicer arietinum (chickpea)
Lineage: Eukaryota; Viridiplantae; Streptophyta; Magnoliopsida; Fabales; Fabaceae
Source: RefSeq, a predicted model, not a curated record
UUAAAAAAACAUCUCUUAGAAAACAAGCGCGAACGUGAAGCACGUGAAGCAAUUCUUCGUCCUUCAUCUUUCAGCUAUCUAAAAUGGAAGUCGAGUAUCUCCUCAUGAAUUCCUCUCCUUAUCUGACCUUCCUUCUUUCUCCCUCCAUCUCUACUUCGAUAAUCUUCUUCACUUUAUGCCUACCGACUCUGAUCUCAUCGACCGCACUCUCAAAAUGGGUUUUCUCCUUCUCGAUGCUGCCAAACACUCCUCUCGCAAACGCGCCAAAAUAAUUACAAAUAGAUACCGAGAUAUCACAAUUCGACUCUUCCAACGGUCUAGGGUUAAUCGUUUAUGAAGAAAUCCCAAUCGGCACUGACCUAAUUGUUCUACCUCAACAUAUUCCUUUACAUUUGACCGAUUCUGACUCUCUCCUACUUCAAUUCACCAACCACGUUCCCGCAUUUGGCAGAUGGACUAUGGGCAAUGAAACUAGGUUUAAGGCUUCUUCAUGAAAGGGACAAACUUGGAUCUUUUUAGUGGCCGUAUAUAAGCAAUCUUCCACUGUUCCUAUUUUCUUUCAUGGGGAAGAUAUUAAGAAUUUGCAGUAUGUUCCUAUCUUCUAUUCGCAGUAUUAAAAUUGAAACGCAUAAAAUUGGUUUGAGUGAUUUUACUUUGUCUUUGUUUUUAUUCUCCUUUAUUAUUACUAGCAGCUAUCAAGGUAACCAAUUGAGGGUUGUGAUAAUAGGCAACCUAGUUUCUUUAACACUAGUAACAUUUUUUGGAUUGGCUUAAGUGGACCCAAGUAUUGAAAUUGAAAGAUUGACCUCCUUGCGGUGUCUUGUUACUACUGAAUUAGUGUAUUUUUAAAUGUUAUAAAUGAAAGAACUUGAGUCAUAAUCA